Molecule: ribosomal RNA, 253 nt
Filed under: uncultured bacterium
Lineage: Bacteria
Description: partial 16S ribosomal RNA
Rfam family: Bacterial small subunit ribosomal RNA
Source: RNAcentral
UACAGAGGGUGCAAGCGUUAAUCGGAAUUACUGGGCGUAAAGCGUGCGUAGACGGUUAUGUAAGUCGGGUGUGAAAGCCCCGGGCUCAACCUGGGAAUUGCAUUCGAGACUGCAUAGCUAGGGUGCGGAAGAGGGAAGCGGAAUUUCCGGUGUAGCGGUGAAAUGCGUAGAUAUCGGAAGGAACACCAGUGGCGAAGGCAGGUCUCUGGGCCACUACUGACGCUGAGAAGCGAAAGCAUGGGGAGCGAACAGG